RNAcentral lists this unclassified non-coding RNA (227 nucleotides) under Hevea brasiliensis (rubber tree). Lineage: Eukaryota; Viridiplantae; Streptophyta; Magnoliopsida; Malpighiales; Euphorbiaceae. The record is from RNAcentral.
AAAUCUACUCUACAUUUUAGAGAAAAAAAGUUUACACCUUUAACUCUCACUGGGGUGUGUGUCCCUCAUCUUCUUGAAAAGAAAAGGGUAUGGCUCUUGUGAGUAGAAUUCCUUCAAUUUCAUCUUCUUCUGGAGCAACCCAAUUGACAAAAAUCAAAUCUUUUUGUGUUAAUCCUGUUUGCUGUAUUAACUAUGCAUCAUCAUCUUCUUCUUCCCCUUUUACUGAG